This is a non-coding RNA of Hemicordylus capensis (graceful crag lizard), 135 nucleotides long. RefSeq annotates it as small Cajal body-specific RNA 24. The transcript has a single exon. The record is from RefSeq and is a predicted model, not a curated record. NCBI's taxonomy places the organism in Eukaryota, Metazoa, Chordata, Lepidosauria, Squamata, Cordylidae.
UGGAUACUUGAUGUUUCUUUCAGUGUUACCUUGUUUUGUGGUGACAGCUGAACAAAAGUAUCCAAUAUUAACACAGGAGCUAUCUGUUCAUCCCUGGAGAGUUAACAGGGUUGGAUCGUUCCACUUCUAACAUGU